GUUUCCCUGUGUACUCGCCUGCCCACUUGCCUACGCGGUGCCCGACUUGCGCUGGUGAUAGGAGACCGCCGAGUUCAUGUUGCCGAAGAUGAAACUCCAAUACUUUGGUCACCUGAUGCGAAGAACUGACUCACUGGAAAAGACCCUGAUGCUGAGAAAGAUUGAAGGCGAUCGGGCACCCAGGCCAGUCAUCUGAGUUGGGAGGAGACAAGGGACAAAAGAAAAUCCUUGUUCCGGCCACUGGGUCAGCAUCAUGGACCAUGGACGCCCCUAGAUUCCAGCCCAGGGCCACAGCCAUCAAAUCCAAAGCCUGCAUCCUCCCCGUGGUCCUCACCAGUUUCAUCGUAACUGUCUUCCUGGGCUGAGUCCUUUCCAGGACCAGAGCCAAGAAGUCACAGCCAGGAGUUCUGAGCCUGCCUUCCUGUGAUGGUGACACAGUAGCUUCGUUGUCUCAUGUGUCCUGUUACAUCUGGACUCUGGGGUUCUUUCUAUGUUCAGAGAAACAACUUCAGAGUAUUUUCAAUGGAAGAAAGUAUUAUGGCUUCCUCAGUCUCUGACUGAAGACUUUGGGCGGUGGGCAGAGGCAGAGGUAUGGACACACUCCAGGCUAGGAUUUGCCCCUUACUCUUCUAAAACUGCUGGAAGGAAUGUCUCUAGCUCACACCACAGGCCAUCUUUUGGUGAUUCUGCAGCUGAUAGAACCCAGGAAGACUCUGGACAAUGCCCACUCUCUGUGCCUUAACCUCACUGUCAAAUGUCAGUCCAGACCUGGCCAGCCCUGGUGUCAAGUCCAGGGCUCCGUGGACACAAAGCCUUUCCUCCAGUUUGACAGUGACAGCAACAAGGUCAGACCUUUGGGUUUCCUGGGGGAGGAGGUAAACGACACCAAAGCGUGGACUGAACUGAGCCAGACGCUAGGAGAAGCAGGAAGAGACCUCAGGAUGGUUCUGCUUGUCAUCAAACUGGACAAAAAGGAGAUGAGGGCCUCAAUGGACAGACUGCCCUCCUCCUUGACACCAUGAACAUAACCUGGACAAACAUCGAUCCUCGAGCCACAGGCAUCGAGGAGGAGUGGGAAAACAACCAGGAACUGGCAGAGUAUUUCAGGAAGAUCUCAAUGGGAGACUACAGUUAUUGGCUUCGGGAAUUUCUGAAACACUGGGAGAACAUGCUGCUCCCAGAGCCCACAGAACCACUCACAAAGUCCCCGAACAACCACCAGCCUGCAUCUAUCCUGUUAAAUAAAUGCAUCCUCCCAUUGAUCUUCAUCUUCAUCAUCUUCAUCUGCCUAAUUGUCAUCAUCGUCAAGAAAUGUAUGAAGAAAUCAGGGACCACAGAAAGUGAGAAUCAGGCUGGCCUCUGGUUCCUGGGCAGGUUUGUUCUGGUCAGGACAGCAGAGAAGUGAGCCACGGGUCUAACCCAAACCCCUCUCUACUGGUACCUAGGAGGGUGCUCUUUCUUAGUCUUGGGCCCCCACGCUUCCCAGUAGGUCUGAAAUUACUCUUUUGUUGGGGUAGAAGAGGCUGUGUAGGCACUAAGAUAGUGCAGUGAGCAGAGGGAAACCAAGUAUCUAAUUCUGUGGCAAGGAGGGGAGAGGCAGGGUCUAAACUUUAAAAGUCUGGGGUGGAGUGUUGUCUUGUUGAGAUCACACCCAGGGUUUCCCCAGUUCUUUGACGAAAAAAAAAAAAAAUGUUUCUUUUCUGACAAUACCAUGAUUCAGUUCAACAGUUUACCUAAUGUUCUAACAGCUCUUCGUUCCAUCAUCUGAUGUUUCUUCCAUUGAUCAUGAGAAGGUGGAAAUGUUAGAUGAGCCCUUGGAUGAAGAAUCUGAUCCUUACUGACAGUCUGGCUGCCAGUCUAGUAUAUUCUCCUCUACUCGGAGUUGUGUUCACCAAGAAGCUAGAGAACUCCUGACUUUCCACAGCUGUUGAUGGGCCCUUCCUAUGUAUUGACUUAGUCAUUUUGAACAAUUUGCUAAAUAAGAUAUUUGCUCCUAAUCAGUUAAGGAUAUCAGCUUUACCUGAUGCUUUUCUAUGAGUUCCCUCCAUUUUAGGUGGAAUUGGAGAGUUUGUUGGCACUUUUAAAUUCCAUUAAGAGGAAAAUGAGUUAGGAAUAAAUAUAUGUGGUUUAAUGAGAUAUACUUCAUGUGUUCAUGUGUUCUCACUUUUAUGCACAGUUACUUCAUGCUUUUAUGGCCAGAAUUGUAUUCCCCUGAAUUCAUGUGCUAAAACCCUAAACCCCCAGGACCUCAGAAUAUGACCAUAUUUAAUGACAAGGCCUUUAUAGAAAUAAUAAGGUUAAAAUGAGGCCAUUAGGGUCUACCCCUAAUCCAAUCUGAUUGGUAUCCUUAUUAGAAAAUGGAACAGACCUGGUAUGUUACAUGGAGGGCCAUGUGAAGACAUGGGGAUGAGAUGUCCGUCUGCAAGCUUAGAGAGUCAAUUCCUAGGCAGGAUUAAAAGAAUUCCAGGGACCCUGAGGAGGAGAAAGGGGUCUGGCGCUCUCAAGGAGGAGAUAGGGGUCUGGAAUUCUCAAGGAG
RNA transcript from Cervus elaphus (red deer), 2536 nucleotides. It is a transcript of the gene named retinoic acid early transcript 1E-like, with no coding region annotated. The transcript is spliced from 9 exons. Lineage: Eukaryota; Metazoa; Chordata; Mammalia; Artiodactyla; Cervidae. The record is from RefSeq and is a predicted model, not a curated record.